AGGAUUUUGACUGUUGUACGUGCCAAACAGACUAGCUUUUUUGUUUCCCACAUUAUACAGGAAGUGAAUAAGACCUCUUGGGAACACAAACACAUCGCCAGGAUACAGGAUUUUGGAUAAGAGGCGAGUCUUAAAGAUGUUCGCAGGAUCACUGACAAAAAUUCCUACAAGGAGCGUACCCUUCAGGACAGUUACCAGUUCAGUACCUCGAGGAUGCGUGUGAAAUGGAAAAAGACUUUGUGGUUCAAUGUCAGCACGAGAAGUUGAAAUACCAAGAGUGUUAAGUCCAGGCAUUUCCUUUACACCCACAACAGUUACAGCAAUACCAAACUUGGG
This 336-nucleotide long non-coding RNA is filed under the name Capsicum annuum. Its description in RNAcentral is "long non-coding RNA (CANN_LNC021635)". The record is from RNAcentral. Lineage: Eukaryota; Viridiplantae; Streptophyta; Magnoliopsida; Solanales; Solanaceae.